CAGUUGGCUACUUUGUGAAGGAGUCAGUGCUCUGAGGAUCUGCCCAUGAGAAACAGCAAGAAGCUCUCUUGUAGGCACUGGAAGCCCUGAGGCCUCCCCUAAUUCUUCUCCAGACUGAACAACCCCAGGUCUCUUAGCCUGUCUCCACAGCAGAGCUGCUCCAGCCCUCAGAGCAUCAUCAUGGCCUCCCCUGGACUCACUCCAAAAGGUCUGUGUCCUUCAUAUACUGGGGGCCCCAGAGCUGAACACAGGACUUCAGGUGGGAUCUCACAGGACUUCUCCCUCACCUUCUGUCCAUGCUGCUUUUGAUGCAGCCCAGGUCACUUUUGGCACACUGAUGCACAACAAAAGCACAUUAAUGCACAUUUGGCUUUCUGGGCUCUGAGCACACAUUGCCAACUUAUGUUGAGCUUCUCGUCAACUAACACACCCAAGCAUUUCAGGGCUGCUUGAUUUCAAAUCAAAGUGCUAUUUCUAAACUUAUGGGAUGAUUUUCACCAAAGCUGAAUGUUAAAAGAAAGCCAAAUAGUUGGAAAAAGUACCAAGCCUAAUCCAAGAAACCUUAAGAGUAGACUGCAGGUUUUAAAAAACUCUCUUCUCUUAUGGCUUUUCCUUCAUGCCUACAAGUCCCUUUGAGAAUUCUGGAGUUGCCCAUUUUCUCUGCUAGGCCAGCUCAGUACAGCUGAGACUUUGCCAGGAGUCUGGGGUGGCUGCAGUUCUGCUUCAUCCCACACUGAUGUCAGCAGGUACUUCCGUGCACCGAGACUCAUGAUCCAAUAUGUCCAGCAACUGUGGGAAUUGUUGAACCUGCUGGAUGUGGAAAUGUGCAGAUUCUAUUCUAUGACUUUGAAGGUGACCAGAGAGGGAGUUUAUUUUGGAAACACAAGGGAAGUUAAGUCCUCAUGGGCUUCGGCCAGUUUGAACAGAAAUUUCUCAGCCAAUGUAAACCUGUUACAUCAUCAUGGUGACAGGCCCUAGGCAGACAAAAACAUUCUCUAGGUAAAACAGAUGAAAUUCCAUGAUGAAGGAAGGUGAGAGGGAAAUUCUUUUGAUCCUUUUCUGAAUGUAGAUGAUGCCAUGUACAUCAGCAAAAACAGGCUGGCAUGGGAUGCGUGCUGGGCCUCCAAAGUGGAGCUUUAUCAGUGAAGCUGAGCAAAUGGCCCUCAUCAGUUCCAUGAGACCUGAGCAACUCUUCCUCACCAUCUACAGCAAAGCACAGCAAGAGUGAGGACAGACAUCUGAAUGGUGUACCUGAAAUUCAGUCUCAUCUAAGAUAAUUUGGAGUAAGAAAUAGAACAGGAAAUAAGGUUUAUUUCUGCUUCCAUACUUCCAGAGCAAACACAUGUUCCCCUACCAUCCAGCAGUUCUGCUGCUUUCCAGCUGGGCUUGGAGGCUGCCUCUCUGUAAUGCCUCUAAAAGUGGUACUGAGGACCAACCCCUCUGAAAAGUGCCCCAGCUUAAAAGUGUCCUCUCUUUGUUCAGCUCUAUCGUGUCAGUUUGUGUCUUCAGAGACUGUAAAUUCUCAGGUGCUACAUAACAAAAAGUUUUGUCCUCUGCCUUGGGACAGAUGCUGCUGCUUCAUCUUCUGAACGAAGCUUCUCAGUGAGUUAGCAUCUGGUUUGUGCAGCAGGUUUGCUGUUUGUGAAGUGAAAGCCAUCUGAUUUCAUACUUUAAGCCUACAGCAUAUACACGUUCUUGUAACCAUAACACCCAGCACUCUUGCUGAGUAGCUGAACUUUCUGAAUUGCAGAAAGUUAAAAACAACCCCAAACAUUCAGUGAAAUUGCAUGAAAACAAAAUUCCCUCCUGCACUCACCCUUUGUAUGAGUCCAAAAGAGCUUUCUAUCAGUCCAGAAGAUUUCUUAAGGAAAAGGCUACUGUAACACUUUGAGACUGUUUUUACACAACUAUGAUAUGAAAUGCAUGUGAUGUAUGUGAUUGACCACUAAACUGCUGUCAUCUAUUGGAUGGGACUUUGAGCUAACUUGCCCUCUCUUCUUCAUCUUACAGCUGAACAACAGAUACCAGGUCUGAAAAGGAGCCAAGUUUCCUUCGUGGAAACUCCUCCUCUCAACAAGAUUGAUUUAACUCUGUGUUUUCUGUCUACAGCCCAGAAAGGCAACCAGAGAAGUAAAACAACAAGUAAUACUUGGAAACAAACUCAGAACUCAAAAGCAGUUUGCUUUAAAACAUUUUCCUCUUCAACUACUUUGCUUGGAAUGCUGAAGGUGAAUAAAGAUGAGAGGAUGCAGCAGGGAUUGAAUCAAGCAGCAAUUCAGGUUCAGGAGUGACUUAAGGAAUUAGUACUCAAAUCUUCAGAGCUCUUCCUGAAAAGCCAGUGACCUGACACAGAAGGUCCUGGCCUUCAGAUACUCCCCAGGGACAGAUGUCCAAGGUGGUGUCCACCUGUUAACUUGGGGGACUCGGCAGAAGGGAUCUCAUCCAGCUAAGCCAAGGUCGGUCAGGGAGCUCAGGGGCAGGCAGGGGACAGUGAGGCAGCAGGGGAACACAGAGGCACAGCUGGUGGCCAACAGCACCCCCCUCCACCAGUGCCUGGUGGGAACAGCAGCUUGGGGAUGGGGUUACCUGGUCACCAGCAGGAACCUUUACGGAGGUGGGGUAACCUUGGAAGGUAUCAGCAUUGUUGCUAGGCAGGAAAAGCAAUGAACCUGGAAGAGAAGACUGAGUUGAUGGUUACACUUGAUGAUCUUCAAUGUCUUUUCCAACUGAAGAGAUUCCAUGAUUCUUUGACUGGUGACCAGCUCAGCUAUUGACUGCCAGUAACCAGCCCAGUAUGGAAGAUUUGAACUGACCUCACUACACUUCAGCAAGGACAAGGAAUUGGACAUGGUUUGGCUUACAGAGCAAUACCCAGUGACACCCCGCUCUGUUAUCCUUCUCUUUCUUCCCAUAUUUGCUGGAAUUGCCUAUGUGCAGGUGGGAAAGUGCUGUCCCUUAUGCACCCAGCUGGUUUAAUCCAGUCUCCCAUAUUCUUAUUAAUGUAUUUGGAUAUUACCUGAAGGAGAACCCCUGGGAAUUAAACCUGGCCCCUGUUACUGCCAGUCAGCGGGAAGGCAAGAGGUUUACAUUAGAUUAACAUUUAAUCUGAAUGCUUGUCAACAUAAAAAAUUGCUUAUUUCAGUCACAUGUUCUGAACAUGCAUAAGGCAUACACAUCAUUUAAAACUGACAGGAGACAUAUAAAUCUCUUUCAUUUUACUGCACCAACGUUGAGUCUAAGAUAAAGAAACGUACAAAAAUAAUCUUAUCCUGCACUUAAUCCUCCAUUCUUCUGACUUGCAAAAAUACACCCAUUUUCUCAACAAAAUUACAUCAAUGUUAUAUUUCUGACAAUGAAAUAAAAUAAUGAAAUUUUCAAAAUAUAAAAA
Long non-coding RNA from Zonotrichia leucophrys gambelii, 3388 nucleotides. RefSeq lists it as uncharacterized. The record is from RefSeq and is a predicted model, not a curated record. The transcript has 2 exons. Lineage: Eukaryota; Metazoa; Chordata; Aves; Passeriformes; Passerellidae.